RNAcentral lists this ribosomal RNA (497 nucleotides) under uncultured bacterium. RNAcentral's name for it is "partial 16S ribosomal RNA". It matches the Rfam family "Bacterial small subunit ribosomal RNA", at positions 28 to 507 of the family's 1533-position model. The record is from RNAcentral.
GAUGAAAGAGGGAGGCGUGCCUAAUACAUGCAAGUCGAGCGAACAGAUGAGGAGCUUGCUCCUCUGACGUUAGCGGCGGACGGGUGAGUAACACGUGGAUAACCUACCUAUAAGACUGGGAUAACUUCGGGAAACCGGAGCUAAUACCGGAUAAUAUAUUGAACCGCAUGGUUCAAUAGUGAAAGACGGUUUUGCUGUCACUUAUAGAUGGAUCCGCGCCGCAUUAGCUAGUUGGUAAGGUAACGGCUUACCAAGGCAACGAUGCGUAGCCGACCUGAGAGGGUGAUCGGCCACACUGGAACUGAGACACGGUCCAGACUCCUACGGGAGGCAGCAGUAGGGAAUCUUCCGCAAUGGGCGAAAGCCUGACGGAGCAACGCCGCGUGAGUGAUGAAGGUCUUCGGAUCGUAAAACUCUGUUAUUAGGGAAGAACAAAUGUGUAAGUAACUAUGCACGUCUUGACGGUACCUAAUCAGAAAGCCACGGCUAACUACGUG